GACGAACGCUGGCGGCGUGCCUAAUACAUGCAAGUAGAACGCUGAAGAGAGGAGCUUGCUCUUCUUGGAUGAGUUGCGAACGGGUGAGUAACGCGUAGGUAACCUGCCUGGUAGCGGGGGAUAACUAUUGGAAACGAUAGCUAAUACCGCAUGAAAUUGCUUAUCGCAUGAUAAUUGAUUGAAAGAUGCAAUUGCAUCACUACCAGAUGGACCUGCGUUGUAUUAGCUAGUUGGUGAGGUAACGGCUCACCAAGGCGACGAUACAUAGCCGACCUGAGAGGGUGAUCGGCCACACUGGGACUGAGACACGGCCCAGACUCCUACGGGAGGCAGCAGUAGGGAAUCUUCGGCAAUGGGGGGAACCCUGACCGAGCAACGCCGCGUGAGUGAAGAAGGGUUUCGGAUCGUAAAGCUCUGUUGUAAGAGAAGAACGGGUGUGAGAGUGGAAAGUUCACACUGUGACGGUAUCUUACCAGAAAGGGACGGCUAACUACGUG
Molecule: ribosomal RNA, 497 nt
Filed under: uncultured bacterium
Lineage: Bacteria
Description: partial 16S ribosomal RNA
Rfam family: Bacterial small subunit ribosomal RNA
Source: RNAcentral